Molecule: long non-coding RNA, 6075 nt
Filed under: Zostera marina
Lineage: Eukaryota; Viridiplantae; Streptophyta; Magnoliopsida; Alismatales; Zosteraceae
Description: long non-coding RNA (ZMAR_LNC002095)
Source: RNAcentral
AAAAGAAGAGAGAGGCUUCCCUCUGUGUCUUUUGCGAAUACUUGGAGAGGUACUAUUUCCUCAUUUGCUUUGCAGUUUAUAUACAUAACGAAAUACCUGCUUCCCAAAGUUCGCCAAACCAAGUCAGUUUUUCUGACUGGAUGAAAGCAAGGCCAGAACUUUACAGCAUACUACGGAGGUGCGUAUAAAUUUAGUUCCAUGAAAUCUUAAAUAUUUUAUUAUAUAGACAUUAUAAUGGUUAGAUAUGAAUAUAAUCUAGUUGAUUUUGGUUUUUUUUAUUUAACCUAUAAUAGUUGUUCACACAAUUCCAUCAAAUCUUGAAUUGGAAUGUCAAACAAGAAAUAUCAAGCACUAAUGGAAUUUCCAACAUUUUUUCUAAAUCAAAUGUGUUAUUUUUUUAAAGAAAAAAAUGUGUUAUUUCUAAUGAAAUGACACUGUCCAAAUAUCUAGUCAAAUCUCUUUGAUUCCAAAUAAGAUAUGAAGAACAAUAACUUGUCUCUAUUUAAUUGUUUACCUAAAAUAAAACCUAACUUUAGUUCACGAAGAUAUAAAGAAGUUUUAUGAUAAAUAAUAAAAUAGACGUUGUGUUUAGUUAAUUAGUUCAUAAUGCACAGAAGCAUCACAGGGAUAACUUGAGUGGGUAAUGAGGGUGCAAUUUGGGGUUGAGUCUAGGGCUCAUGAAGUGGAGUCAUUUAUGUUCUUUUAGGCACACUCAAUUCUUGUCUUUAGGAGUUUGAAGUUUGAGUCGAAGUAGUUUGGGAUUUGAAGUUUGGGGUUUGAAGUUUGUUUUCAUUUUUACAAUGUACACUAUCUCCGACUUCAAAGAGUUUGGGGUUUGGGUUUGUGGAGUGAAGUGGAAUAGUGGAUCCAAAGUAAUUUGUGGCUUCACGUGAUUGAUGAAGCAAAAUUUCACAUUUACUACACACUCUCUAUUCAUAUCUUCAGAAGGUUGGAGCUGAUCCCUAUUUAUAAGGGCUGGGAAGCAGUCAUGUCCUCCAUGGGUCGAGAAUUUCUCUUAAGUGGGUUUGGGACAGGUAGAAAAGAGGUUCUGACUGAUUACGCAUGGGUAAUAAACUCAAAUCUCGAGGUAGAAAUAGACGGACAAGUUCAGAUAUUUCAUAUUAUCUCAUCAUCUAUUAUCUCACAUGAUUCUAACCUUAUAAAAUUAUUUACUAUGAGUGAAACUAGAAGAGAUAGAAAAUGGGGGAAUCAAGUGAUCGACCCCUCUAAACAUAUAUUAGAUGUGUUUAUAUACACUUGAGUUUAAGAUUAGAUCUUAACUGAAUUCAGUUGAGAUCUAAUCUAUACUAACUAAUUACAAUUAGUAUUAUAAGGGCUAAAAUGUAAUUACAAACAAAUGAAAACAAAUAGCCUUAUUUAUUAUUACUAAUAUUUACAAUUCAUGUUAUUCAAUCCAGGGUUCUCCUAUAGUCCUAUCCUAGCAGAGUGCAUACUUAUGACUAUGCCAUAGAGGUGUAGUGGUCUGUGCCAACACCAUGUUAUAGUGCCACUAUAUAAUGGCCUAUAUCGGGUCUUUAAAAAAAAAUCUUGUACUCAUAAUACUCAAACUGAAAAAAGUACAGGAUAAUUGAUAACGUGCAUGUUUUUAUACAAUAACACUCUUUGAAAGAAAAGAACUUCUUCAAAGACAAGAGUGGUCAGGGAUUAUUCUUUUGCCGAAAGAAAUUCUAAGAAACUCUAAGAAGUCGCUGGCUGGAAUCUAAAAAUGAUACCAUUUCCAAAAGAAUUCGCUGGCUGGAGAAGUCACAGAUCAAAGAAGUCGAUCUGGACCCAAACCAUAUCUUCACUCUAAUGAAGGGUGGAUUAUUAAGUGGAUAUAGACCCAUAUCCACCCAAGAUCCUAAUAGGUUAUAGCAACAUAGGGUUAGGUCACUUCUAUGAUCUCUCCCACCACUCCAAGAAGUUAGUGUAAGUGUGCAACUAGAGAGUCAUUAUAUCAAAUAUACUAUGUUUAACCCCACUGUAUUGGGAUUCUAAUCGAUCUUCUAAUUAAACAAGGUGUGAUUCUCUCUGUACCCAUCCUUUCUUUGAAAUUUUCUUCAUUGAACACAACUUUGCAUCCCUUCUUGAUCCACUCUUAGAUCUUCUGCUAGCUCCUCUUCUUUUUCAUGUACUCUCCUUAUACCCUUCUUCUACUUCUAAACAUGUCAUUGUGAUCCCCAAGAGUGAUCAAUGAAGCCCCUAACAUGCAUUUUGCCACAUUUUAUAUUUUUCAUUUUUAUAAUUGCAGGAAAGGACAUGCUUACAUUAAUGUAUAAAAUAUCAGAUGCUCUCAGAUUUAUGUGUGUAUAUUGAAUAUGGUGAAUUUAUAAAUUACAAGUUUAUUCUAGGUUUAUGUAAGAUUUUAUAAAUCAAGGAUUUCCAUGUCAUAUCUGCAAUUCAAAAGUGACCAUCUACUUGCACAGAUUGCUCAGACGAGACCCUAUGGGUGCCUUGGGUUAUUCAAGCAUAAAAUAUUCUUUAACCAAAACUGAUCAUGGUCGACCAUGUGAGAUCGACAUUGUUGUUGCAACUAGAAAAGGAGAUGUUCUUGGAAAAAAAACUGUUUUAAAAAGCGACCACUUUCCUGGUUGUCAAGCCCUUUCUUUGCCAGAGAAGGUAGAAGGUGCACCCAAUUUCAGAGGAGUUCCAGGUUUUCCAGUUUACGGUGUUGCUAAUCCCACAGUUGAUGGUAUUAAGAAUGUUGUUAGGAAGAUAAGUGACAGUAGAAAUGGGUGUCCAAUUUUAUGGCACAAUAUGAGAGAAGAACCAGUUAUCUAUAUAAAUGGGAAACCUUUUGUGCUCCGUGAGGUAGAAAGACCUUACAAAAACAUGUUGGAAUACAGUGUAAGUGUGGGUGAAGUGGUAUUAAUUUUUAAUAAACAAUACAUCCUCUUUUUAAUCCUGUGGGAAUACAAUUUUCGUCACUUCAUUUGUGAGUUGUGAUAUUUAGUAGUUUUAUUUUACUAUAAUUGACUUUACAGGGAAUUGAUUGUGAAAGAGUAGAGAAAAUGGAAGCUCGACUGAAAGAUGACAUUUUACGGGAAGCAUGUCAAUAUGAGGGUUCUAUAAUGGUAAUCAAUGAAACUGAAAAUAAUGAGAUUGUUGAAGUUUGGGAACAUGUUGAUUCUGAAGCUGUUCAAACCCCACUUGAAGUAUAUAAGCAUCUAGAAGCUGAAGGUUUUCCAAUUAAAUAUGCACGUGUUCCUAUCACUGAUGGUAAGGCUCCAAAAAGUUCGGAUUUUGACAGAAUGGCAGUCAAUAUUUGCUCAGCUUCAAAGGAUGCGGCUUUUGUUUUUAAUUGCCAGGUAGAAUUUCAUUAUAAUACACUAAUACAGAUGCACUUGUGUUUUGAUUCAUUUUUAAUCACAGCCAUUUCCAUUUUGGCUACUUUUUAAUUGUGACCUUUCUCUCUCUUUACAGAUGGGGAGGGGGAGAACUACUACAGGUACUGUUAUUGCUUGUCUUUUGAAGCAUCGGAUUGAUUACGGAAGACCAUUUAAAAUGGUUGACAAGGAUGUCUUCCUUGGAAAUUUAGAAGAAUCAUCGAGUGACGAUGAAGAUAUCUUAGAUAGUCCUACAUCAAAGAAAACUCCACCUGCUUUUGGAAUUCAUGACAUUCUUUUACUGAGGAAGAUAACCAGAAUGUUUGAUAAUGGGGUUGAAUGCAGAGAAGUACUAGAUGCUGUAAUUGAUAAGUGUUCAGUCUUGCAAAAUAUACGUGAAGCUGUUCUUCAUUACAGAAGGCAGUUGAAACAACAGCAUGUAGAACCGAGAGUAAAGAGAUUCGUUCUAAAUCGUGGUGCAGAGUAUUUGGAGAGGUACCUGCGUUUGAUUGCGUUUUCCGCAUAUCUUGGCAGUGAGGCGUUUGAUGGUUUUUGUGGGCAAGGUGAAAGUGCAAUAGCAUUUAAAACAUGGUUGUAUCAGAGACCAGAUCUCCAAGCUACAAAGUGGAGUGUACGUUUACGACCUGGUCGUUUUUUCACUGAUCCAGUAAUGUUUCCUUCUUCUUCUAUUAGUUAUCGCUGUUUUUCUCCAUUGUUGUCAUUUUUUUCCAAGAGAUGCAUAUAUAUAUAAUUGUAUAUAUCAUUGUCUUUGACAUCAAAUUUUCAUUUAACAGGGUUCAAAUCCAAGAGUACAUGUAUUCGAGCAUGAUGACAUUAUUACAGAGGCUGUAGUAAAAGCUCGCAAUGGUUCUGUUCUGGGUAAAGGAUCAAUAUUAAAAAUGUAUUUUUUUCCUGGACAGAGAACAUCUGAUUCCAUGCAUAUUAUUGGUGCACCCCAUGUUUACAAGGUAUUUGAGCAAAAAUAUUCUGUACAUUUCAUUUGCGUGAAUAUGAAAUCAUGCAAUUUCUCUAGUAGUAAUAUGAAUAUCUAGUAUUCAAAGAGAUUCUUUAUUUGAAACAAAACCAAUUACCUCAAUCAUUGGACAUUGUUUUUUUUGGUUGUUUCUAAGUUUCCAAUGGAUACUUUUUUGCUUAAUGUCAAUUCAACAGAAGUUUUUUUUUGUUCUUAGUUCUUAUAUUUACAGUUUACUCUCAGGUAUUCAGUAUUGGAUUUUUUUACAUGCAAAGUAAUGCCAUUUUCUCUGUAUAAUCUCUUUUUUCUUAAACUAUUAACAGGCAGAUAGUUAUCCAGUGUAUAGCAUGUCUACUCCAACAAUUGAUGGUGCCAAGGAAAUGUUAUCACAUUUGGGUGCCAAUUCUACAGAAAACGAAAGAACUUCCCCGAAAGUAAUAGUGACUGAUUUGAGAGAAGAAGCAGUUGUCUAUGUAAAUGGAACACCUUUUGUUCUUAGAGAGCUAGAUCAGCCUGUUGAUACUCUCAAACAUGUAGGAAUCAUUGGAGAAAUGGUGGGUAUUUCUUUUGGAAAAGGGUACAGUUUUGGAAACCGAUGUUGAAAAUUUGUUAAUUUGUCAGGUGGAAAACAUGGAAGCAAGGAUGAAAGAUGAUAUUCUCUCUGAAAUCAAACAAUCUGGUGGCAGAAUAUUGUUGCAUCGUGAGGAAUUUAAUCCAGUAAGCGAACAUUCUACGGUAAUAGGUUAUUGGGAGAAUGUUCCAGAGGAUGGUGUGAAAACACCUGCAGAAGUAUAUAAUAAUCUUAAAGAUGAAGGUUACAACUGUCAGUAUAGAAGAAUACCUCUGACAAGAGAACGGGAAGCAUUAGCCAGGGAUGUUGAGGCAAUUCAGCGUUGUAAGGACUUGUAAGUUUCGCUAUUUAGUACUUUUAUAACUCAUAAGCUAUGUCCUGUUUUAUCCAUCGUGCAUUUCUACAUUUUGUGAUCCAAUUUUACUUGAGGUGGUUUCUUCUACAGAUCUGCUGGAUGCUACCUUUUUGUUUCCCACACAGGAUUCGGGGGUGUUGGUUAUGCUAUGGCUAUUACUUGUCUUGGUCUUAAUGCUGCUGAUAGAAAUCUCAUGGCAAAGACAUCAUCAGGAAAAUCUAGUGGAACAGAUGAUUUUUCGUCGGUGGCUGUGCAUUCAGAAUCACCAUCAUCUCAAUUUUCUGAUGAUGAAGCACUUAAACAGGGUGAAUACCGGGACAUACUUAACCUCACCAGAGUCCUCUUACAUGGACCGAAAAGCAAGGUGGAUGUUGAUGCAGUUUUAGAAAGGUAUUUUGUCCAUAAAGAAAUAAUUGAAAUAUUAAAACAAAAUUGAAAUAUUCUUACUUGGAUUUUUUUGUAUGCAAAUGAACAGAUGUUCUGGUGCUGGAAAUAUACGUCAUGACAUAUUGCAUUACAAAAAGAAAUUUGAGAAAUGUGGUACUGGUGAUGACGAGACCCGUUCCACUCUUCUGGAUAUGGGCAUUAAAGCUCUAAGGUUUGUUGUACUUUUGUUGUACGAAAAUCAAAUGGAUAUUUCUAUUUCAUUAAUCAUUAGAAGAGAAAAAUCAAUAACCAAAUGCGUGUCGUUUAAAUAACUCUUAUUUGGACCUUGCAGGCGAUACUUUUUAUUGAUCACCUUCAGGUCUUACCUCUUCUCCGCCAAUCCCUUGGAAAUUGGAUUUGCAUCAUGGAUGAAAGCACGACCUGAGCUACGUCACCUUUGUGAUAAUUUGAGAUUCGACAGAUA